AAUGUGACCUCGGAUCAGUAGA
This 22-nucleotide ribosomal RNA is filed under the name Fusarium proliferatum. Its description in RNAcentral is "partial 28S ribosomal RNA". Lineage: Eukaryota; Fungi; Ascomycota; Sordariomycetes; Hypocreales; Nectriaceae. The record is from RNAcentral.